This 115-nucleotide non-coding RNA is filed under the name Psychrobacter faecalis. RNAcentral's name for it is "ALIL pseudoknot". It matches the Rfam family "ALIL pseudoknot". Lineage: Bacteria; Pseudomonadati; Pseudomonadota; Gammaproteobacteria; Moraxellales; Moraxellaceae. The record is from RNAcentral.
GCUUUUUUCGCCCAGGCGGAGACGGGCCGCCCACCGAAAUAAUGGUCGAUUUCAUUGAUGUUAACAAGCAAGAAUAUGGGAUCGAGCCAAUCUGUAGAGUACUACCGAUUGCCCC